GACGAACCGUGCAAACGUUGUUCGGAAUCACUGGGCUUAAAGGGCGCGUAGGCGGACGUUCAAGUCGGUGGUGAAAUCCCCCAGCUUAACUGGGGAACGGCCUUCGAUACUGGGCGUCUCGGGUAAGGUAGGGGCAUGCGGAACUGAUGGUGGAGCGGUGAAAUGUGUUGAUAUCAUCAGGAACUCCGGUGGCGAAAGCGGCGUGCUGGACCUUAACUGACGCUGAGGCGCGAAAGCCAGGGGAGCAAACGGG
RNAcentral lists this ribosomal RNA (253 nucleotides) under uncultured bacterium. Its description in RNAcentral is "partial 16S ribosomal RNA". It matches the Rfam family "Bacterial small subunit ribosomal RNA", at positions 524 to 776 of the family's 1533-position model. The record is from RNAcentral.